This 154-nucleotide ribosomal RNA is filed under the name uncultured bacterium. RNAcentral describes it as "partial 16S ribosomal RNA". It matches the Rfam family "Bacterial small subunit ribosomal RNA", at positions 355 to 526 of the family's 1533-position model. The record is from RNAcentral.
UGUGGAAUAUUGCACAAUGGACGAAAGCCUGAUGCAGCAACGCCGCGUGGAGGAUGACACGUUUCGGUGCGUAAACUCCUUUUAUAUAAGAAGAUGAUGACGGUAUUAUAUGAAUAAGCACCGGCUAACUCCGUGCCAGCAGCCGCGGUAAUAA